GAUGAACGCUGGCGGCGUGCCUAAUACAUGCAAGUCGAGCGAACAGACGAGGAGCUUUCUCCUCUGACGUUAGCGGCGGACGGGUGAGUAACACGUGGAUAACCUACCUAUAAGACUGGGAUAAAUUCGGGAAACCGGAGCUAAUACCGGAUAAUAUAUUGAACCGCAUGGUUCAAUAGUUAAAGACGGUUUUGCUGUCACUUAUAGAUUGAUCCGCGCCGCAUUAGCUAGUUGGUAAGGUAACGGCUUACCAAGGCAACGAUGCGUAGCCGACCUGAGAGGGUGAUCGGACACACUGGAACUGAGACACGUUCCAGACUCCUACGGGAGGCAGCAGUAGGGAAUCUUCCGCAAUGGGCGAAAGCCUGACGGAGCAACGCCGCGUGAGUGAUGAAGGUCUUCGGAUCGUAAAACUCUGUUAUUAGGGAAGAACAAAUGUGUAAGUAACUAUGCACGUCUUGACGGUACCUAAUCAGAAAGCCACGGCUAACUACGUG
Molecule: ribosomal RNA, 497 nt
Filed under: uncultured bacterium
Lineage: Bacteria
Description: partial 16S ribosomal RNA
Rfam family: Bacterial small subunit ribosomal RNA
Source: RNAcentral